This 178-nucleotide non-coding RNA is filed under the name Gallionellales bacterium RBG_16_56_9. Its description in RNAcentral is "6S RNA". It matches the Rfam family "6S / SsrS RNA". From Rfam's summary of the family: E. coli 6S RNA was the first non coding RNA to be sequenced, but its function was unknown until recently. It consists of 184 nucleotides that fold into an extended hairpin structure with a large single-stranded internal bulge. The 6S RNA specifically associates with RNA polymerase holoenzyme containing the sigma70 specificity factor. The record is from RNAcentral. Lineage: Bacteria; Pseudomonadati; Pseudomonadota; Betaproteobacteria; Nitrosomonadales. RNAcentral also lists the same sequence under 1 other name.
UGUCCCCUGCGGUGUUCGUCAGAUCCAUAAUUCUUUGAACCGAUAAGCUAAGGCUUAGGUUGCGACCCUUGAUGUUACUGUUGUGCGCAUCCCCUGCGGAUGUACCUGAUGUAACUGGGAAGCGGCCCUCUUGAACCCAGGUUCAAGAUAUUGGGUCAACGGCACAGGCGGGGGGCUU